Molecule: long non-coding RNA, 1554 nt
Organism: Triticum aestivum (bread wheat)
Lineage: Eukaryota; Viridiplantae; Streptophyta; Magnoliopsida; Poales; Poaceae
Exons: 4
Source: RefSeq, a predicted model, not a curated record
UAAGCAACCGAGUAACUUCCUUCAGCAUUAAUUAAUCACCGUUCUGUGCAUAUGGUAGAUUAUUAAUGCAGUCUGAACACUGGCACUUACCAUUCGGAGUGUAGUAGUAGUAGUAUAUAUUCCGAGGCAUCAACUGAUCAUUUCCUAAUGGAUGUGCAUUUUGCAUCUGAAUCACCUACUGAAUUUAGUGUUUUUCCGUGGAUUCGUUUCAGAUCGACCGCGGGAAGUCGUAAAGCGAGCGGUGUGUGCCAUGAACUCCGCUUCCUUGGCAUCCAAGUUGGUUUCUUCUGUGGGAUUGCGCUUUUUCGCCAGGGAAGAAGAUACAGAGAUGCUUGUGCGGCGCAGGUUUUCCUGGAAAGUAUUAUUCAGUUUUCCUGGAAAGUUUUCUGGAAGGAAGGUGGACGUAGACUGGACACAACACAACAGAAAAUGCAGGUGCUGUGCAUAUCAUCAUCCUUGCCGCCUACUCCUUCUCCCACCUGUCAUUUUCUGCUGUGUGUACCGUUUCCUGUGCUGUCCAUUCUUGAUAUGGCGCCAUGAUUUUGCUUGUCAUUACUUUCCACUCCGUGCUAUUACGCUUUUGUUUGUCAUUGCUUUCCGUUCCAUGCCAGCUGACGCGCACGGACCAAGACCCGUCCACGUCGUGCAACUGAAACAAUAGGUGCCAAAUCGAUGACUACUGGUGUCUGGAGAAAGUGAUGAUGAGAUUGCGUUACCAUCGUGUCGACCGUCCAGGAGCUCGACAAGAUCAUGGAGGGCAACAUCAGUGUCAUCGCUCCUCAUCAGAACCUCGGCGACCUCUGCAGGCGUCACCGUGACCUCCUCGAUCAACGCCUCAAUCUCAGGAUAGGUGACAUGGUAGUCAAUGGAAUGGUAGUUAUUGGCAAGGAUCUGUAAGGCCUCUGUGGUGCAGUACCCCAUGUGGAUGUGCAUGUCCAUCCUGCCAGGCCGCAGAAGUGCUGGGUCGAGACGCUCCUUGUAAUUGGUCGUGAAGAUGAGGAUCCUUUCCUCCCCACUUGUCGACCACAAGCCAUCUACAAAAUUGAGCAGCCCAGACAAUGUGACCUGUGCAGACAACAACCAAAAUUGUCAUCAGCAUAUGAAUUGGAUUUGGAAUCCUCCUCGUCAUCUUCCUCCCGCUGCUCCAGUUCAAUGGUGCAGUCGAUGUCCUCAACAACGAGAAUGGACCGGUUGGUCAUCCCGACGAGAAGCCUCCUGAGGUCCGAGUUGGAAUUGACCCCGGUCAGCUCGAGGUCGUAAAUGUCAAACCUGAGGUGGUUGGCAAUGGCGGCGAUGAGGCUGGACUUGCCGGUGCCCGGCGGGCCGUACAACAGAUGGACCGCGGGAAGUCGUACAGCGAGUGGUGUGUGCUAUGUACUCUGCUUCCUUGGCAUUCAAGUUGUGUCGCGCAAGUCUUUUUCCUGCAGUGUAUUCAGUUUUCUCGAAAGAAGCAGAGGAUGCUGUGCUCCUUCCUGGAUGGAGGGUGGACGAGACACGAGACACAACAUGACAGAAAACGCAGGUGCUGUUGCAUAUAUCAUCCUUGCUGCCUAC